AAGCCUUCGGGUGGAUUAGUGGCGAACGGGUGAGUAACACGUGGGAAAUCUGCCCUGCACUCUGGGACAAGCCUUGGAAACGAGGUCUAAUACCGGAUAUGACCUUCCUCUGCAUGGGGGUUGGUGGAAAGCUCCGGCGGUGCAGGAUGAUCCCGCGGCCUAUCAGCUUGUUGGUGGGGUAAUGGCCUACCAAGGCGACGACGGGUAGCCGGCCUGAGAGGGCGACCGGCCACACUGGGACUGAGACACGGCCCAGACUCCUACGGGAGGCAGCAGUGGGGAAUAUUGCACAAUGGGCGAAAGCCUGAUGCAGCGACGCCGCGUGAGGGAUGACGGCCUUCGGG
Molecule: ribosomal RNA, 344 nt
Filed under: uncultured bacterium
Lineage: Bacteria
Description: bacterial SSU rRNA
Rfam family: Bacterial small subunit ribosomal RNA
Source: RNAcentral